AACGAACGCUGGCGGCAGGCCUAACACAUGCAAGUCGAGCGCCCCGCCAGGGGAGCGGCGGACGGGUGAGUAACGCGUGGGAAUAUGCCCUUUGCUACGGAAUAGUCUCGGGAAACUGGGGGUAAUACCGUAUACGCCCUUUGGGGGAAAGAUUUAUCGGCGAGGGAUUAGCCCGCGUUGGAUUAGGUAGUUGGUGGGGUAAUGGCCUACCAAGCCGACGAUCCAUAGCUGGUUUGAGAGGAUGAUCAGCCACACUGGGACUGAGACACGGCCCAGACUCCUACGGGAGGCAGCAGUGGGGAAUCGUAGACAAUGGGGGCAACCCUGAUCGAGCCAGGCCGCGUGAGUGAUGAAGGCCUUAGGGUUGUAAAGCGCUUUCAGCUGGGAAGAUAAUGACGGUACCAGCAGAAGAAGCCCCGGCUAACUCCGUG
Molecule: ribosomal RNA, 431 nt
Filed under: uncultured bacterium
Lineage: Bacteria
Description: partial 16S ribosomal RNA
Rfam family: Bacterial small subunit ribosomal RNA
Source: RNAcentral